AGUGAACGCUGGCGGUAGGCCUAACACAUGCAAGUCGAACGGCAGCACAGUAAGAGCUUGCUCUUACGGGUGGCGAGUGGCGGACGGGUGCGGAAUACAUCGGAAUCUACUUUUUCGUGGGGGAUAACGUAGGGAAACUUACGCUAAUACCGCAUACGACCUACGGGUGAAAGCAGGGGAUCUUCGGACCUUGCGCGAUUGAAUGAGCCGAUGUCGGAUUAGCUAGUUGGCGGGGUAAAGGCCCACCAAGGCGACGAUCCGUAGCUGGUCUGAGAGGAUGAUCAGCCACACUGGAACUGAGACACGGUCCAGACUCCUACGGGAGGCAGCAGUGGGGAAUAUUGGACAAUGGGCGCAAGCCUGAUCCAGCCAUACCGCGUGUGUGAAGAAGGUCUUCGGGUUGUAAAGCCCUUUUGUUGGGAAAGAAAAGCAGCAGGUUAAUACCCCGCUGUUCUGACGUUACCCAAAGAAUAAGCACCGGCUAACUUCGUG
Molecule: ribosomal RNA, 492 nt
Filed under: uncultured bacterium
Lineage: Bacteria
Description: partial 16S ribosomal RNA
Rfam family: Bacterial small subunit ribosomal RNA
Source: RNAcentral